ACACAACGUAUAAAUAGUGUUCUGUAUGUAUUGAAAUAGUGUCAUCACUGUCAUGAGUGUGAAAAUAGUGUCCUGAAUGAUAGAAUAAUACAAGUUAUCCAAAAGGUUCCCUUCUCAGUCGCCAGCUAGCCUCGCUUCUGGACUGGACUCUGGCAGCACUACGCGCUUGGAGCAAAUUGUUGGCAAAUACCAGCGAGGGUAUUUGAGGAAACUCUCUGCCAACCUUCAAUUGUGAAGCGUAAUCUUCUUCAUCAAGCUCGGCAUCGCACCUUCUUGUCGGCCAAAACCCCCUUGUGAAAUCAACGAACAAUACAAAAUGAGUGAGCAAGAGCUGAUGUUGAGCUUUAGCGCAAAUACCACUAAUCGAACUGGCGAGGGAUUUUGGGGAAUCGGGAUACGCCUUCUGAAUAUUUAUCUCGGAAGUGGAAGUCGCAGCGGGUCUUUUGGAGCGGACUGGAGUAAUACGAUCAGGUUCGUCCCGAGGGCUGACUACGCCCCAGACACACGCGUGUGCCACAUGACUCUGGAGCAGUUGUGUGACGAAAUGGAGCGCUGCUCCAGAGUGGACGGGGAUGUAGUGGAAGAAGUGUCUUAUUAUGCUACGCGUCUAGUGUCAAACCAACAAAGUGCUACAAUCAGUUACAAUUCGGCCUCCUUGUACCAAUAUCUCGAAGAUUUUAAACAUAAUUUCAUUCAAUUCUUCGAAAGUUUGAAGGAUAAUUUUGUUCUAUUCCCCGAAAGCUUCAUGCAUAAUUUCGUUAUACUCAAGAUCGGAAGGGGAUAUUGGUCAUUGGACAAGUUCCAUGAUGGAAUAGUAAUUCAGCGAAGCUUAUCGGUGUUCGAUGUCAUGAGCAAGUGCUUGAACAAUUCCAGGAUCAUAGAGGGUAGUGGCUGCAGGCUUGAAUGCAGCCGUCGCAACGAGUUCCAUUCAUCUUCCUCGCGGCCAAAUAAAACAAUGAAGGAUUUCAUUGGAUGGAUGAAGGAAUCUGAACAUCUUAGCAGGCCGUACAACGUGAUCUCCAGCAACUGCGUUUGCCUGACCAAGGAGUUGGAGGAGAAAUUCCAUCGAUGAGUUGCAUGCAACUCACUACUUGAACGAUGACGAUUUGCACACUAAAUGUAUCUCUAGGCUCUAAUUUAGCAAAAUAUAAUGGUCAGUAAUUACGUUGAAAUUCUAGUUCGAAAUAUCAGGAACCAUAAAAUUUAUCCGCUAGUGACUUCGCUGCCGAAAUUAUUUUAUUUUGAUAUUCUGAGCGCAAAAGUUUCAUUCCAGUGGUGAAAUUUUUUAAUAAUUUGAAUAAAACUACGAUGUCGUGAUUGCGAUAAUUUUUUCAUGUUAAAAUACUUUCAUGGAAAUCCGAUAGAUCGAGGUAAUAAAAUAUUUUGCCGGUAAAGAAACGGGAUCAAUGAAAAUAUGAGUGAGAAAUUUUCUUUUGCUCACUACCUUCACCGAAUAUUUAUAGUUGAACUUUCACUUUAUGGGAAUAAUGCCUGCAUAUAUCAUCUAUGUGUUGUCUCAUCCGGCUUUGAACGAGCUAAUUUUAUUAUAUAGAUACUAAGUUUUCUGUACACUCAUUUUUAAAUCUAUAUUCCGUCUAUUACUAUUUGCAAAUCCGAUGUCAGAUUGCAUGCCGAGUUUGAGGUCCCCAAGAUACACGUCGUCACUAAGUUAAUUGGAACGGUGUGCCAGCUAUAGAAUAGAAUAGAAGUGUCGGCAAUGAAGAAAUAGGCUAUGCGCCGCUUACAUUGUUUAGAUUUAAAUACUCACUGCUGGACUUUUUAUUGUAUUUUUUUGUCUUUCUUGCAAGCCUAGUAAUCCAUUAUUUAUUUCGUGCGCUUGUUCAGUAUUCACCUAUUUCCCUUGAUACAAACAUCCCAGUAGCUUCAUUGUGAUGAGUUGUAUGCUUCUUCGAUUUCAUUUAAAAUUCAUGAUCAUGUUCUCUCGGUUGAUCAACACAUCAUGUUUCUUAAGCACAUUGCAUGGCAGUGCGAACUUAACGAGAAGCUGCUCCGAGAAACUGUAAUAGGCCUGAAGCAAAGGCCACGUUAGCUCUUCACAAAGCCGGCAUGAGAAAGCCUAAGCGCCUAACUUCAGUAAGAUGCAAGAUUCGAUUGUUGUUUUAGCUGACCCAGUAAAUAUAAAAUAUGUAAAUAGGACCUAGUAUUUGCAAGGACAAGUGACCUAACACGUGAUGCCUGUUGUACUGUAAUGAAUAGCGGCUAAUAUUGGCAAGUCGUAGUAGCUGCCGCUACUAGCCCCAUGGCCAGGGGAUUUAAUGGGAUGUAUUUCCCCGUUUCUAUAGUUUCGUUUCAUCGACUUCUAAGCCAUACUUGCAUUCCACGGCAAUUUCUUGAUUUGAAUGUUUGUCCUGACCAAAUCCUCUCAUCCUAUGGCCUGUUCCUCUUUAAAUGGCGAUUUUUGAAACCUUGAUAUAAUUUGAGUUUGGCGACACUGUUAUCCACCUGCCAUUACCCCAAGCAACGAGUGUCCACAGAUAACGAGAGUUGGCGCUCACGUUAGUAUAUAACACUUUCAGUUAUUUUAGAAGGUUUAAUAAAGGAAUCGAAUUAUUGUUCUGCUCUCAUUUAACCGAUGUAAAGGAAACGCGUCAGUUGAAUUCUACCUGACAAUACAAUACAUGAAAUAUUUCAAAUAAAUUAAUUGGAAAUAUUUUCAGCUUCAACUUGCCUUAGGAUACAAGAUGUAUUUGCUUAUGUAAUGUGUUCUUAUAGCUUUCUUUGAUAUAAUUGGAAACGCAUCAAGGAAACUCUGAUCCCAUAUUUGUGUGCGAUGAGUUAUAAUGAAAAACUUGAAUAAAAAGUAGUAAAAACUAAAACAAAACUAUGAU
RNAcentral lists this long non-coding RNA (2849 nucleotides) under Hyalella azteca. Its description in RNAcentral is "uncharacterized LOC108665749". The record is from RNAcentral. Lineage: Eukaryota; Metazoa; Arthropoda; Malacostraca; Amphipoda; Hyalellidae.